CUACCAUCAUGUUGCCUAUAAAAGCACGGCCCCUCGUAGUUCUUGCUUCAUCAACCCUACUCCUACGUGCUUGAUCAUAUAUAGCACACAAAAGAUAAGUUCACCCACGAGCUGCAACAUGGGUAGUGCAAACAUUAUUAUCCUUGUUGUCUUGCUCUUCUCCUCGGUGCUCACGCUUCUGCUUCCCACUGCUGCCUGUGCUCGCCACGGUGAGUUCCUCUCCAAUCUAUAUAGAUCAUGCGUCCUAGUUUGUGUUGUUACUUACCCCGAGUCCCAUUGGCAUGCAGCUCCAGCAGCUGCGGUGCUUAACGCAAAAGAUGGCCUCAACGACACCGGAGGACUACAUCACGUGGUGGUCAGUGACGCGGGGAAGGCUGGCCCUGUCACGAGCGACAGUGGCGGCUUCUGGCCGGGAACGGCUGAGGCGUGUGUGGCGUCAAGGCACCGGGGCGACACGGCCACCGUGAUGCAAGACAUGCUCGGGAUGGAUUACUCUCCGGCGGUGCGCAAGCCCCCGCGUC
RNAcentral lists this long non-coding RNA (521 nucleotides) under Triticum aestivum (bread wheat). RNAcentral describes it as "long non-coding RNA (TAES_LNC002112)". The record is from RNAcentral. Lineage: Eukaryota; Viridiplantae; Streptophyta; Magnoliopsida; Poales; Poaceae.